RNAcentral lists this ribosomal RNA (253 nucleotides) under uncultured bacterium. RNAcentral describes it as "partial 16S ribosomal RNA". It matches the Rfam family "Bacterial small subunit ribosomal RNA", at positions 524 to 776 of the family's 1533-position model. The record is from RNAcentral.
UACGUAGGGGGCAAGCGUUGUCCGGAUUUAUUGGGCGUAAAGAGCGUGUAGGCGGCCAGACAGGUCCGUUGUGAAAACUCGAGGCUCAACCUCGAGACGCCGAUGGAAACCGUUUGGCUAGAGUCCGGAAGAGGAGAGUGGAAUUCCUGGUGUAGCGGUGAAAUGCGCAGAUAUCAGGAAGAACACCCGUGGCGAAGGCGGCUCUCUGGGACGGUACUGACGCUGAGACGCGAAAGCGUGGGGAGCAAACAGG